UCCGCAGGUGACAGCCCUGCGAUGCUGCGGUGCCUGCGAGGUGAUGCCGCCGUGCUCGUUGCUGCUUCCUGGUAAGGAAAGGCCUCCUCCGCUCCUGCUGCAGCGUGGUGGUGUGUCGGACACGAUUCCCUGUGUCGGGUGAGGCCUAGGGCUGCCGGCGAGGUGGAGGACGGCCUAGAGUCUGGAGCUGCAGAAGAGGCAGGGCGGAGAGGAGGGGAAAGAAGCAUCUGAACGGCUAAAUUGUGCCAGCAGCGCUGAGAGCGAGAGUCGCGGUGGAGGACGGCCUAGAGUCUGGAGCUGCAGAAGAGGCAGGGAGGAGAGGAGGGGAAAGAAGCAUCUGAACGGCUAAAUUGUGCCAGCAGCGCUGAGAGCGAGAGUCACGGUGAGUCCUGGGCCACUGGGGCCCCGUUGCCUCUCUUGUGCGUCCUGGGCCCUCCCUGUCCCUCCCCCGGCCCCCUCUCUUUCCUUA
Phalacrocorax carbo (great cormorant) is the source of this 469-nucleotide non-coding RNA. NCBI's taxonomy places the organism in Eukaryota, Metazoa, Chordata, Aves, Suliformes, Phalacrocoracidae. The record is from RefSeq and is a predicted model, not a curated record.